RNAcentral lists this transfer RNA (63 nucleotides) under Teredorus guangxiensis. RNAcentral describes it as "tRNA-Cys". The record is from RNAcentral. Lineage: Eukaryota; Metazoa; Arthropoda; Insecta; Orthoptera; Tetrigidae.
GACCGUAUAUUCAAUUAUGAUUUUAGAUUGCAAUUCUAACGGUGUGAUUUUUCACUAAGGUCU